AGCUGCCAUGGACCAGCCGGCGGGGCUGCAGGUGGACUACACUUUCCGCGGAGUGGAACACGUCGUGCGCCUGGCGGUGAGCGGUGGCGGCGGAGGCCGCGUCCUGGAGCUGGAGGUGGAGGACAAGAUGACCACCGACCAGUGGCGGGGGGAGUUCGACACGGCGUUCAUCGAGGAUCUGACGCACAAGACGGGCAAUUUCAAGCAGUUUGGCAUUUUCUGCAGUAUGCUGGAGUCGGCCCUCACCCAGAGCAGCGAGUCAGUCACCCUGGACCUGCUGACCUACGCUGACCUGGAAGCCCUGAGGAUGCGAAAGGUGGGGGCGCGACCCGGCCCCCCGGCCCCCCGCUCCGCCCUGCUCAGCUCCAAGCGCUACCUCAUCCUCGUCUACUCGGUGGAGUUCGACAGGUGACUGGGAAGAGGGCCUGGGGGUCGGGCUUAGGGGGAACGGGGCCUGGGUCUGCCGGAGCCCCGAGCGACGGCGUCACCCGUUCCUCCGGCCUCCAGGAUCCACUACCCACUGCCCCUGCCCUACCUGGGCAAGCCGGACCCCGCGGCCCUGCAGGGAGUCAUCCGGGCGCUCAGGGAGGAGCUGGCCCAGUUCAAGGCGGGGACCGGCCGCGACGGGGAGAUCCGGCGGCUGCGGGAGCAGUCAGUGAGGCGGGAGCCCGCGGGACCCAGGGAGGCUCAGGGUGGAGGUGGACGGCCCGCCCGUGUCCGGUCCGGGCUCCGGCGGGUGGUGCCGCCGGGUCGGGCGGGGGCGGCUGGGCCCAGGGGUCGGAGGGAAGCGGGUGGGCCUGGCCCAGGUGGGUCGUCCCCUCCCAGGUGUCUCUACCACCGCCUGUCCUCCCCCUUGCACGUGCCCAAACCCCCCUCCCCCGGCCCCCAGCCCCUGCCGCUCUCCUCCUCUCUGGGCCAGGCUGUCCCAGGCGGCGGCGGAGAAGCGGGAGCUGGAGUCGGCGCUGAGCCGGGCCCAGGCGGCGGAGGCCCGGGUGGCAGAGGCCCGGCUGGAGGAGGUGCGGGGCGGGCGGGGGACCCCGCGGGAGGUGGCGGCGUUGAGGCAGCUGGUGCGCAGCCUGGAGGAGGAGCUGCUGCGCGAGCGGAGCCAGCACCAGCGUGCGGCCGGGCGCCGCGGACAGGAGUGCAGGCAGCUGGCCCGGGAGCUGGAGGAGGUCAAGGCCUCGGAGAGAAACCUGCGCAUUCGGCUCAAGACGGUGUCCAGCGAGCUGGCCUUGUACAAGCAAGGGUGAGCUUGGCGUCCCGGACCCAUCUCCUCUCCCGGGCAAUCGAUCUGUCGGUCGGGGUUUCUGAGCGCUUAUUCCAUGCAGAGAAUCCUGUGCUAAGCACCUGGGAGAGUACGAUAGAGGAAGUAAGCACUAUUUCUGUCCUGAAGGAGCUUACGGUUUUUAGAGGGGACGGACGCUACAAUAAAAUUACCAAUAGGGGAAGCGGCAGAGUGUAA
RNAcentral lists this long non-coding RNA (1462 nucleotides) under Ornithorhynchus anatinus (platypus). RNAcentral describes it as "lncRNA (ENSOANG00000048938.1)". Lineage: Eukaryota; Metazoa; Chordata; Mammalia; Monotremata; Ornithorhynchidae. The record is from RNAcentral.